This 505-nucleotide ribosomal RNA is filed under the name Caulibugula pearsei. Its description in RNAcentral is "partial 16S ribosomal RNA". It matches the Rfam family "Bacterial large subunit ribosomal RNA", at positions 1796 to 2624 of the family's 2925-position model. Lineage: Eukaryota; Metazoa; Bryozoa; Gymnolaemata; Cheilostomatida; Bugulidae. The record is from RNAcentral.
UCGACUGUUUACCAAAAACAUAGCUUCCAGAAACUAUUAGAAGUUAAGUCUGCCCGGUGAAAAAAUUUAACGGCCGCGAAAGUGCUAAGGUAGCAUAAUAAUUUGCCUCUUCAUUGGAGGAUAGUAUGAAUGGAUUAAACGAAGCUUAACUGUCUCUGUUGUACAUAAAUAAAUUGAUUUUUAGGUGAAAAAUCCUAAAUUUAAGUGAAGGACGAGAAGACCCUAUAGAGUUUUAGUAAAAAUAGAAAUAUUUUACUUUUAUUGGGGCAAUAAAAGAACAAAUAAAACUCUUUUAAAAACAAAAUUAAAAUCUUAAUAAAGAUCCUCAAAGAGAAUAAAGAAAAACUACCUUAGGGAUAACAGCGUUAUUCUUCCAGAGAGAACUAAUUGAAGGAAGAGUUUGCGACCUCGAUGUUGGACUAAGGAAUCCCUUGGGUGCAGAAGCCCAAAAUGGCAGGCCUGUUCGGCCUUUAAUUCCUUACAUGAUUUGGGUUUCAUUCCGUAA